This 434-nucleotide ribosomal RNA is filed under the name uncultured Lachnospiraceae bacterium. Its description in RNAcentral is "partial 16S ribosomal RNA". It matches the Rfam family "Bacterial small subunit ribosomal RNA", at positions 341 to 792 of the family's 1533-position model. The record is from RNAcentral. Lineage: Bacteria; Bacillati; Bacillota; Clostridia; Lachnospirales; Lachnospiraceae.
ACGGAAGGCAGCAGUGGGGGAUAUUGCACAAUGGGGGAAACCCUGAUGCAGCGACGCCGCGUGAGUGAAGAAGUAUUUCGGUAUGUAAAGCUCUAUCAGCAGGAAAGAUAAUGACGGUACCUGACUAAGAAGCACCGGCUAAAUACGUGCCAGCAGCCGCGGUAAUACGUAUGGUGCAAGCGUUAUCCGGAUUUACUGGGUGUAAAGGGAGUGUAGGUGGUUUGGCAAGUCAGAUGUGAAAGCCCGGGGCUCAACUCCGGGACUGCAUUUGAAACUGUCAGACUAGAGUGCAGGAGAGGAAAGUGGAAUUCCUAGUGUAGCGGUGAAAUGCGUAGAUAUUAGGAAGAACACCAGUGGCGAAGGCGGCUUUCUGGACUGUAACUGACACUGAGGCUCGAAAGCGUGGGGAGCAAACAGGAUUAGAUACCCUGGUA